GGGGGGAAUAUUGGGCAAUGGGGGAAACCCUGACCCAGCGACGCCGCGUGGGUGAAGAAAUCCCUCGGGAUGUAAAGCCCUGUUGUAUGGGAAGAGCAGAAGACGGUACCAUACGAGGAAGCCCCGGCAAACUACGUGCCAGCGGCCGCGGUAAUACGUAGGGGGCAAGCGUUGUCCGGAAUUACUGGGCGUAAAGCGCACGCAGGCUGAAUUAUAAGUCGGUAGUCAAAUACGGAGGCUCAACUUCCGGAUAUCUAUCGAUACUGUAAAUCUAGAGUAUGUGAGAGGGAAGCGGAAUUCCCGGUGUAGCGGUGAAAUGCGUGGAUAUCGGGAGGAACACCAGUGGCGAAGGCGGCUUCCUGGCACAAUACUGACGCUCAUGUGCGAAAGCUAGGGCAGCGAACGGGAUUAGAUACCCUGGUAGUCC
This 427-nucleotide ribosomal RNA is filed under the name uncultured bacterium. Its description in RNAcentral is "partial 16S ribosomal RNA". It matches the Rfam family "Bacterial small subunit ribosomal RNA", at positions 354 to 796 of the family's 1533-position model. The record is from RNAcentral.